Molecule: long non-coding RNA, 1632 nt
Organism: Ailuropoda melanoleuca (giant panda)
Lineage: Eukaryota; Metazoa; Chordata; Mammalia; Carnivora; Ursidae
Exons: 3
Source: RefSeq, a predicted model, not a curated record
AUCCAGCUCCAGCCACAGAGAUCAUUUGGAACGUCGAAGCUGCAUGUCUGCAUCAUGCAGACUGAGGGGGAAGAAGAAGGGGGAGGGAGGAUUUAGCUUUUUCUAGGAGGAUGAAGCUCCAAAAAGUAUGCCUUAGCCUGGUGUCAGAAUUCUGUCCCAGUCUGUGUCCUACUGUCAGCCACGGUGGGCUUUUGAGGCAGAUACAGUCCCACCCCUUAACGGUUUAUUCCUGGGACAGAUUGUUUAAACCGCACAUUCGUUUCCUCAUCUAUAACUGGGAACAACAGUCCCCGCCUGUGGUAAAUUAGAUCAUUUGUGGAGAGCAACUAGCAUAAUCCUGUGCUCAGUGUGGCUGCUUCAGGAUUCAAAUGUGUGAGAUGCGGAGGUAGAGGAAAGCAAGCAGCCCCAACUCUGGAGAACGCAGGGUCGUGGUCCCUGAGCUACUUCUGCCACCCUGGGCAGCUGGUGGAGUCAGAGAGAAAGAGGAAGAGGGACAGAGGCUUACCCCGAUUGCAGGAGCCCCGAUGGAUAGAGAUGGCAUCCAGAGAGAUGUCCAGCCUUUGGAGGAUGCCAUGAAAACCAGACAGAGAACACAGGAGCACUCUGGGAAAUGGAAACUACAAGGGUGGAAAUGUAAAAUCCAACGAAGAGAAAUGAAAUGAGAGCAGGAGAGAAGGAAAGCAAGAAAGCCAAGAGAAAGAGACUCGGAGAAUCCGUCUGGGAAGUCUAACAUCCAACCAAAAGUGUUCAAAACAGAAAGAACCAAAAAAAUGGCUUAAGAGAAACCACCCAAGAAGAUUUCCUGGGACUGAGAUACAAGUCUCUUGAUUAGAAGGGGUCUCAUGUGAUGAAUGCAAGGACACCCACGGAAGGCAUGUCAUGAGAUUCGAGAGUGGCAGGGGGAAGAGAAGACCCUAACCACUUUCAGAUAGAAAAAAGCAGGUCACGUACUAAGGAUCAGGAAUCAGCAUUGCGUCAGGCUUUUCAAUAGCAACCAUGGGUUCUAAGAGGCCGUGGAACAUUGUCGGCAGAAUUCCAACAGAAAAUCAUUUCAAACCUAAAAUUCUAUUGCUGGCAACAGUGGCAUAAACGACUGGCCGGUCAAAUAAGGUGGGACUGGAAACUCUUUAUGACAAAGAACAGAAAAAAUCAAGUCCCAGAGGAAGACGUGCCCCCAGCCAGUAAACGUCGGAAAAGAGGUUCACUAGUACUAAGGAAAAUCCUAGUCAAAACCACAGCUGUCACAGUGACCACUGUUUAAGGGACUGAAAGCAUUGCGUGUUGGCCAGGAUGUAGGUAGACACACUCAUAUAUACUGAUGCUAAGACUGUAGGUUGGGGGAAACUUCUCGGACAGUGACUCAAACUUUCUAGCGUGCGUGGUUUUGACCCCACCUUACCUUUCUAGAAUCUCCCCACAGAUAUCCGUGUGUAUUUGCCCAAAUCUGGGCACCCCUUAAAGAUGAUCACUGUGGCAUGGUUUACAAUAGGAAAAGUCGAGGUUACCUAAAUGUUUAGCAGCAGAUAGGCUGUUGGAUUGUGGUCAAGGAAUAUUGUUCAUAAGAAGCAGUAUUAUGGAGGUAUUAAAAAGAAUGGCGCAGGGCGCCUGGGUGGCACAGCGGUUAAGCGUCUG